UAGGCCCGUAGCUCUAAUAGGGAGAGCACCGGACUCCAAAUCCGGGGGUUGCAGGUUCGAGCCCUGCCGGGCCUGCCAA
RNAcentral lists this transfer RNA (79 nucleotides) under Dictyoglomus thermophilum H-6-12. Its description in RNAcentral is "tRNA-Trp". It matches the Rfam family "tRNA". Rfam says of the family: Transfer RNA (tRNA) molecules are approximately 80 nucleotides in length. Their secondary structure includes four short double-helical elements and three loops (D, anti-codon, and T loops). The record is from RNAcentral. Lineage: Bacteria; Pseudomonadati; Dictyoglomota; Dictyoglomia; Dictyoglomales; Dictyoglomaceae.